ACGAGGCGUCACUUUUGUAAACUGUAAGAGAACAAACGGGUGGAGUUCACCACUGGAGUUCACCUCAAGCUAAAAUGGAGAAUAGUUCAGGAUCCAAACACGGCACCUUGAGGAACUCCACUGGUGAACUCCACUCAUAUCUCCUCCUGAAUCAUAAACGUCAAACAUUCACCGUUUCCUUUCUGAAAAAGAUUUGAAACUAACGAGCGAGACCAUAAACCGUUUGGAAAAGCACAUACUGAUGUCAUAUAUGAAACGAAAAAGUUUCUUGAGUUUUUCAUCAACUUACAUUCAUGCGGAGUUACAACAAAGACCAGUGAAGCUAACUUCUGUCUACAUCUGGGGCUUCACUUUUGCAACUUGACGCCUACGUCCACUUCUCACAAAGAAUGUUCCAUAAAUCGGUACCACAAUAAACGAUCAUCUGGCCUACGCUAGCCAUCAAUUACAAGAUUUUAAAGGGCCACAUCUGGCAUUCAAAUAUCGAGAAUUUGAGCUGCAAUCUUGCAAGACUUAAACCAAACUAGAAGGAACCAAAGUCCUGUCUUCUCUCCGAAUAAGGAUAAAAUAAACUUUUUCUUUACUAGUGAUGUCCGAUUAUAACUCCACUGGUUAUUAAAAUAGAUUAAUAAAAUGAGCUGCAAUGCUGCCAUCUAGUGGCUUUCACUUUCGUAUACCGCUGUUUUUUUUUUCCCCAAAACUAUUUUUAGGUCAUGUAAUUUGGUGAAACCCAAACUUUGCGUUAUCGGGUUUUCAAUAUCGGAGGAAAAAACAAUGACAAUUCUUGAACAUAUUACACAUUAAUGCUAAUAUUGCCGAUAAUAUCGGUCCCUAAUUUUUUAUUCGGUUGGUGUCAAUUGCGAUGCAGAUCUCAUUGUACCGAAAAGUAAAAGCCUCUCCUCCCACGACAUUUUUGCGUCUGUUUGGGACGGUGAUGGAAAUACGUGUUAUUAUUGUAAAGGUGGUUGAGCAGCAGAA
Cynoglossus semilaevis (tongue sole) is the source of this 978-nucleotide long non-coding RNA. RefSeq lists it as uncharacterized. The transcript has 2 exons. The record is from RefSeq and is a predicted model, not a curated record. Lineage: Eukaryota; Metazoa; Chordata; Actinopteri; Pleuronectiformes; Cynoglossidae.